Engraulis encrasicolus (European anchovy) is the source of this 320-nucleotide long non-coding RNA. RefSeq lists it as uncharacterized. The transcript has 3 exons. NCBI's taxonomy places the organism in Eukaryota, Metazoa, Chordata, Actinopteri, Clupeiformes, Engraulidae. The record is from RefSeq and is a predicted model, not a curated record.
UAGCUGUUUCCAGUCUGUGGUUCCCUGUCAACAGCGGCAGCAGCCCUCCAGCCCCUUCUCCCCUCAUCUGCAGCCCAGCAUCAGAUCCUGAUUCGGACUCUGGCUUGUAGAGGCUCUAGCUGUUUAAUCUGUUGUUCCCUGCUAACAGCGGCAGUAGCCCUCCAGCCCACUGAGAGUUCUUGCUGAAGCCCCUCAGCUGCAGCCCAGCAUCAGAUCCUGAUUUUGACUCUGGCUUGUAGAGGCUCUAGCUGUUUCCAGUCUGUGGUUCCCUGUCAACAGCGGCAGCAGCCCUCCAGCCCCUUCUCCCCUCAUCUGCAGCC